GGCGAGAUGGCCGAGUGGUCUAAGGCGCUAGAUUUAGGCAAUUCAAGCUGAAUCUCAGCUGAGUUCUCUGUUCUCUAGUCUUUCGGGGCGUGGGUUCGAAUCCCACUCUCGUCA
This is a non-coding RNA of Marasmius sp. AFHP31, 114 nucleotides long. The record is from the annotation of a GenBank genome assembly. Lineage: Eukaryota; Fungi; Basidiomycota; Agaricomycetes; Agaricales; Marasmiaceae.